AACGAGGCCGACCUGCGGCUGAGUUACCUGCGGAGGGAUCAUUACCGAGUUUACAACUCCCAAACCCCUGUGAACAUACCUAUACGUUGCCUCGGCGGAUCAGCCCGCGCCCCGUAAAAAGGGACGGCCCGCCCGAGGACCCCUAAACUCUGUUUUUAGUGGAACUUCUGAGUAAAACAAACAAAUAAAUCAAAACUUUCAACAAUGGAUCU
This 212-nucleotide unclassified non-coding RNA is filed under the name soil metagenome. RNAcentral describes it as "partial contains 5.8S ribosomal RNA, internal transcribed spacer 2, and large subunit ribosomal RNA". The record is from RNAcentral.